UACGUAGGUGGCAAGCGUUGUCCGGAAUUACUGGGUGUAAAGGGAGCGCAGGCGGGAAGCCAAGUCAGCUGUGAAUACUACGGGCUUAACUUGUAGACUGCAGUUGAAACUGGUUUUCUUGAGUGAAGUAGAGGUUGGCGGAAUUCCGAGUGUAGCGGUGGAAUGCGUAGAUAUUCGGAGGAACACCGGUGGCGAAGGCGGCCAACUGGGCUUUAACUGACGCUGAGGCUCGAAAGUGUGGGGAGCAAACAGG
Molecule: ribosomal RNA, 253 nt
Filed under: uncultured bacterium
Lineage: Bacteria
Description: partial 16S ribosomal RNA
Rfam family: Bacterial small subunit ribosomal RNA
Source: RNAcentral